UACGAAGGGGGCUAGCGUUGCUCGGAAUCACUGGGCGUAAAGGGUGCGUAGGCGGGGCUUUAAGGCAGGGGGGAAAUCCUGGAGCUCAACUCCAGAACUGCCUUCGAUACUGAAGAUCUUGAGUUCGGGAGAGGUGAGUGGAACUGCGAGUGUAGAGGUGAAAUUCGUAGAUAUUCGCAAGAACACCAGUGGCGAAGGCGGCUCACUGGCCCGAUACUGACGCUGAGGCACGAAAGCGUGGGGAGCGAACAGG
This 253-nucleotide ribosomal RNA is filed under the name uncultured bacterium. Its description in RNAcentral is "partial 16S ribosomal RNA". It matches the Rfam family "Bacterial small subunit ribosomal RNA", at positions 524 to 776 of the family's 1533-position model. The record is from RNAcentral.